Molecule: long non-coding RNA, 1527 nt
Filed under: Anas platyrhynchos platyrhynchos (common mallard)
Lineage: Eukaryota; Metazoa; Chordata; Aves; Anseriformes; Anatidae
Description: lncRNA (ENSAPLG00000023227.1)
Source: RNAcentral
UAUGGGGCUGGAGACGUCUCUUUUAUUCCCUAUGGGCUUUUAGGGGGGCUCCUUUUCCCCUUUUCCUCCCCAUUUCCCUUUUUUUUCCCCUUUUUCCCUCUUUUUUCACCAUUUUCCCCUUUUUAAUCCUUUUUUUUCCCUAUGGGGAUACCGGGGGGGGUUUACUGGGGGGCCUUUUGGGGCCAUUUUACCCCUUUGGGGACAUUUUGGGGCUGAUUUACCCUUUUUGGGACAUUUUGGGGCCAAUUUAUCCUUUUAGGACAUUUUGGGGCCAAUUUUUUACCUUUUUGGGAUAUUUUAAGUCCAAUUUUUUACCCCAAUGUGGAUAUUUUGGGACCGAUUUACCCCACAGGGACAUUUUGGGGCCGCCCCAUACCCAAAAGGAUUUGGGGGACGGGAGGAAAAAGGGCUCCUGCGUGAAAAUAACCCAAAAUUUUAACUUUUUUCCCUUUUUUUCCCUUUUUUCUCCAAUUUUCAGAGCUUGCUACGGCCGGACGGAGGCAGCAGAACCCACAGCUCCCGGCUGACCCCACACCGAGCCCUCACCCCAAAACCCCGAGGGAUCGAGCCCUUUUGGGGGACCCUAAAAAGGGGGGGGGGGGACCCCAGCGACCCCCCUCCCCCUGGCCCCGCAGCCAGGUAAGCGCCAAAUUUUCACUUUUUUCCCCCAAAAUGAAAUCUUUCCCUCGCUUUUCCAGCCCGAAAUGCGUUUAAUCCCAUUAAAAACGGGGGAAAAAAAUAGGAUUUUAAGGAAACGGGGGUGGAUUUUUGGCACGCCGCCCUCCAGAACCUCGCGAAAAAUUUAUUCCACCAAAAUUAUUCAAAAAUAAUUAUUAAUUUUAAUUAUUAAAUGUAUUAUUAAACGAUUUUUGGGGGAUUUGGGGUUUUUAUGGGAUGCUUCAGACCCCGUUCUGGUGUCCUUAUUGAACUCCGACUUCAGGCUCUUCACGCAGAGCAUGGAGGAGCAAAAAAAGUAGGGUAAAUAUCACUUUUUUGCCCAAAUUUGGCAGAAAUCGCUUUAUUUUUACCCGUUUUUGAAGCGAAACAGAAAGGAAAGGGACAAACAAGGGGGGAAAAAGGGGAAUCUUUGGGAUUUCCUGAUUCUAAUGAGAAUUUUUGCCACUUCCUCGGGCUGUCCCGGGAAGUUUCUCCCUGCCGUGCCUCGUUCCCUUCUCGGAUGAAAAAAGGAGCCCGUUUUGGGUAAAAAAACGGAGAAUUUGGGGGUGGAAGAAGGGGUUUUGUGUGCUCGGUGCGGGCGGGAUCCCGCUGGCCCUAAUCCCCCUUCCCCGGGCUCAAGGGCAGGGGAAAAUCCCCGGCUCCGCUUACUCAGCGCUGACACCUCGUCCUCCCCGGCCCCUUUUUGAGGCAAAAAAAGGCGAUUUCGGGACUGGCUGCGAGCGCCGCCGCCUGCUUUUUCCCCUACAGGUACGGCCGCGACCCUAAAACCCUGCUGGGGGUUAAUCCCCAUCACCCGGGGCUGCUUUCCCUGCGCAGGGACCCCAAAUAAGCUAAAAAACUCCCCAAAUA